AACCAGGAGACAGGUGCUGCAUGGCUGUCGUCAGCUCGUGUCGUGAGAUGUUGGUUAAGUCCCGCAACGAGCGCAACCCUUAUCUUUAAUUGCCAGCAUUCAGUUGGGCACUUUAAGAGACUGCCGGUGUUAAACCGGAGGAAGGUGGGGAUGACGUCAAGUCCUCAUGGCCUUUAUGCUUAGGGCUACACACGUGCUACAAUGGGUGGUACAAAGAGAAGCCAACUCGCGAGAGCGCGCCAAUCUCAAAAAGCCAUCCUCAGUUCGGAUUGGAGUCUGCAACUCGACUCCAUGAAGUUGGAAUCGCUAGUAAUCGCGGAUCAGCAUGCCGCGGUCGAAUACGUUCCCGGGCCUUGU
RNAcentral lists this ribosomal RNA (357 nucleotides) under uncultured Smithella sp. RNAcentral's name for it is "bacterial SSU rRNA". It matches the Rfam family "Bacterial small subunit ribosomal RNA", at positions 1025 to 1384 of the family's 1533-position model. The record is from RNAcentral. Lineage: Bacteria; Pseudomonadati; Thermodesulfobacteriota; Syntrophia; Syntrophales; Smithellaceae.